CGGAACGGGUGAGUAACGCGUGAGGAACCUGCCUCAAAGAGGGGGACAACAGUUGGAAACGACUGCUAAUACCGCAUAAGCCCACGGCUCGGCAUCGAGCAGAGGAAAAGGAGCAAUCCGCUUUGAGAUGGCCUCGCGUCCGAUUAGCUAGUUGGUGAGGUAACGGCCCACCAAGGCGACGAUCGGUAGCCGGACUGGGAGGUUGAACGGCCACAUUGGGACUGAGACACGGCCCAG
This 237-nucleotide ribosomal RNA is filed under the name uncultured bacterium. RNAcentral's name for it is "partial 16S ribosomal RNA". It matches the Rfam family "Bacterial small subunit ribosomal RNA", at positions 100 to 334 of the family's 1533-position model. The record is from RNAcentral.